AUCCUGCAGUGUCCUUAGUCAGACUGGUGUAUCCUGUGUCAGACUGGGGAGUCCUGAGUCAUCCUGGGAUGUCCUUAAUCACCCUGGGGUGUUUGUGUCAUGCUGGGGUGUCCUAAGUCAGGCUGGCGUGUCCUGUCUCCUCCUGCAGUGUCAUGUUCCAUCCUGGGGUACACUGUGUCAGCCUGGGAUGUCCUGAGUCAUCUUGCGGUGUCCUGUGUCAUCCUGGGGUGUCCUGUGCCACCCUGGGGUAUCCUAGGACAGCCUUGGGUAUCCUGAGCCAUCCUAAGAUUUCCUGAGGCAUCCUGGGGAAUCCUGAGUCAUCCUGGGGUGUCCUGUGUAAGGCUGGGGUGUCCUGAGACAUCCU
RNAcentral lists this long non-coding RNA (364 nucleotides) under Cricetulus griseus (Chinese hamster). Its description in RNAcentral is "lncRNA (ENSCGRG00015032547.1)". The record is from RNAcentral. Lineage: Eukaryota; Metazoa; Chordata; Mammalia; Rodentia; Cricetidae.